Molecule: ribosomal RNA, 262 nt
Filed under: uncultured bacterium
Lineage: Bacteria
Description: partial 16S ribosomal RNA
Rfam family: Bacterial small subunit ribosomal RNA
Source: RNAcentral
CGACCGGCGCACGGGUGAGUAACACGUAUCCAACCUGCCCUUUACUCGGGGAUAGCCUUUCGAAAGAAAGAUUAAUACCCGAUGGCAUAGUUCUUCCGCAUGGUGGAACUAUUAAAGAAUUUCGGUCAUCGAUGGGGAUGCGUUCCAUUAGGUUGUUGGCGGGGUAACGGCCCACCAAGGCAACGAUCAGUAGCCGACUUGAGAGAGUGAUCGGCCACAUUGGGACUGAGACACGGCCCAAACUCCUACGGGAGGCAGCAUG